UACGGGGGGGGCAAGCGUUGUUCGGAAUUACUGGGCGUAAAGGGCUCGUAGGCGGCCAACUAAGUCAGACGUGAAAUCCCCAGGCUCAACCUGGGAACUGCGUCUGAUACUGGAUGGCUUGAAUCCGGGAGAGGGAUGCAGAAUUCCAGGUGUAGCGGUGAAAUUCGUAGAUAUUCGCAAGAACACCAGUGGCGAAGGCGGCUCACUGGCCCGGUACUGACGCUGAGGCACGAAAGCGUGGGGAGCAAACAGG
Molecule: ribosomal RNA, 253 nt
Filed under: uncultured bacterium
Lineage: Bacteria
Description: partial 16S ribosomal RNA
Rfam family: Bacterial small subunit ribosomal RNA
Source: RNAcentral